Molecule: long non-coding RNA, 1113 nt
Organism: Cuculus canorus (common cuckoo)
Lineage: Eukaryota; Metazoa; Chordata; Aves; Cuculiformes; Cuculidae
Exons: 4
Source: RefSeq, a predicted model, not a curated record
GCUCCCGAUCCUGGCUCCCAGCCGUGACCCCGGGGGAAAAGGGAGCCCGGCAGGGCUGGGGGCUCCCGGGGCGGCCCCUCCUGCCACCGUGCUCUCUCCUCCCGGCUGGUUUCUUCUGUCCAGCGCUUUCCCGGAGCGGCUGCGGGCAGGACAAUCCCUGGCCUGCCUCUGGUGCAGCCUGGGAGAGCUCGAACCGGAGUGGAAGCUGCUGCGGGGGCACCGGUUCCCGCUGGGGACCCUUAAGCCCUGCCUAUUGUCUCCCUCGCAGGCGAUGCCCGGGUCCGCGAAGCUCUGCUUUUACUGAAAACCGCCUUUUUCCGCUCUAAACGUGCUUUGGUGGGAGCAGAGGCUGCCCCGGGAUCCACCCCUGCUGCCUCGGGAGGGGCUGGCUGGGGUUUCAGCCAGAUCCUGGCUUUCUCCUGGGGAGAAAUGGGACAUUUCUUGUGUCUCGUCCCACUUUCUCCCUCCCUUCCUUCCUGUCACAGGUGCGGGUUACCGGGAAGGGGCUGGGAGGAGCUGCCCAUGCCCAUGUGGGGAGAAACUCCGGGGCUGUUUGGGCCAUCGGGAACUGACUGGCCCACGUCUCUCCCUGUGCAGGGAUGGACAGACAGAUGGACAAAGGACCCCCAGCCACACAGUGAGACACCUGUGAUAGAAAGACCCGCGUGGAGAGUGGAGCCUGCUCUGAGAACGAUGCUGCUGCCUGCCUUCCGCAGCCACUCCUGGCCAGGGACUGCCCUGCCGGUCCUGCCUUGUGCCCACAGGGAGACACUGCGGGGCUUUCGCUUGGGCUCAGCUGUGGCCUCAGCUCCAUCUUAUUUGCAGCUCCACUUUGGCUCCAUCUGCAGCUCACCUGUGGCUCCAGAAACUGAACUUCUCAGCUACUUCUCGGAUUUUUCCUUCUCUUCUACUUUUAUCAGUCAGUAAGAAGAGAAAGGUAACCUGCAAGUUACUUCAUAAGGAAAAAGAUGAAGUAUGUGACAGUUGGAAUAGAUCAGCCCCAUAGGCCAUCAGAGAGAAUCACACCAACAUCUUGUUUUCUGCAAGCCACAAGAAACACUGAGGAAGUGAGGGGGUUUCAUGAUGUCUACCAGAGCAUCCCUGGUGUGGUCA